GUGGUGGCUCAGUGGCAGAGCGCUUUACUAGCAUGUGUGAGGCACUGGGUUCAAUUCUCAGCACCACA
This 68-nucleotide transfer RNA is filed under the name Marmota monax (woodchuck). RNAcentral describes it as "tRNA.Ala". The record is from RNAcentral. Lineage: Eukaryota; Metazoa; Chordata; Mammalia; Rodentia; Sciuridae.